This 301-nucleotide ribosomal RNA is filed under the name uncultured bacterium. RNAcentral describes it as "partial 16S ribosomal RNA". It matches the Rfam family "Bacterial small subunit ribosomal RNA", at positions 510 to 808 of the family's 1533-position model. The record is from RNAcentral.
AGUAGCCGCGGUAAUACGAAGGGUGCAAGCGUUAAUCGGAAUUACUGGGUGUAAAGCGUGCGUAGGCGGUUUGUUAAGUCUGUUGUGAAAUCCCCGGGCUCAACCUGGGAAUUGCAGUGGAUACUGGGUCACUAGAGUGUGGUAGAGGAUAGUGGAAUUUCCGGUGUAGCAGUGAAAUGCGUAGAGAUCGGAAGGAACAUCUGUGGCGAAGGCGACUAUCUGGGCCAACACUGACACUGAGGCACGAAAGCGUGGGGAGCAAACAGGAUUAGAUACCCCGGUAGUCCCUGUCUCUUAUACA